Molecule: long non-coding RNA, 1330 nt
Filed under: Homo sapiens (human)
Lineage: Eukaryota; Metazoa; Chordata; Mammalia; Primates; Hominidae
Description: hepatocellular carcinoma up-regulated long non- coding RNA
Source: RNAcentral
GGUAAUCAGCUGGGGUUUCCUUAGGGAGGUUGGAAGGUUUGUUCUUUCUCUCUUUGCAGUAAAUCUUGCAGAUUCUAACUCAAAUAGCUCAAAGGACACCUUCUCCGGGAAACCUUCCCUGACUUCCGACGCUGUUUCCUGUUUAACUUCAGAAACUGGGGGUGUCUAAUGUCUGCAACAUAACAGGACUAUUGUAGGAAAUUCUGAGACUCUAUAAGCACUUUUAAAUGUGAAAAUUAAGAAGGCAUCCCAGAAAUGAAUGGGUCCAGUGCUCUGAUUUAAGAGUGUGUGACCUGUCGUCAUUCAUCCAGCAGACCCAAGCAGGCUUAGAGAAAGUAAGACGGACCCAUGAUGUACAUUAGAACACAGCAACUAUUUGAGUGAAAUAAGUAUUUUUAUUUAUUUCAAGAGGAAAGCAAAGUCGAAGGGUGUUCAGGGCUACAGUUUUGCUUGACCAGAUGUUGCCAAGUUUCAAAGUCAAAUCGGUUCAUCUCCUGGCUAUCAGCUAAAGGGUGUUGUAUUUGUAAGCAUUGAGAACUUCUAUCUACUGCUAUUGUAUUUUGCAUAUUUGUAUUUUCUGAGUUCUAUUUGAGAGAGACGGAAUUACGCAUUUCCAUAUGGAUCAUCCUCUUCCCUAUGUAUGUUGCUUUAUUGCCUUUUGGAAGAAAAAAAGUGAGAGUUGCAGUCUGUAUUUAGGCCAUUUCUAUGUUCUUUAUUGGGUUACGUUUGAAUGCCCAAUUUGAUCUCAAUGGCACGUCCUUUGUAACAUAAAAUAAAACAUGGUGCUCAGGAAAAGUAACGACACACACAUCCAGGCCCUUUCAUAGCAGUUGGUAAAGCUUAAGCCUUGCCUCUCUGUGUGGUAGUUUCCCUUCCCUUUCUUUUCGUUCCCUGUGACAAGCAGCCAUUGUCCCCUUGGUGAGAUCUGCAAUAUUACUUUGACCCCAGCCCAUCAAUCUGCCUCAAUUGGAUAAUGAUCUGUAAUCACGUUCUUUCAGGGGAGUCUAUAAAUUUGCCAAGGCCCCAUUCUCUUCUGAAGGACUCCUUAUGUUCACUCCCAUUUGUGCAAAUGUGCUCUCUUUUACAGGGCUAAAUAGCCAUGCACAUGGUCCAUUCUGUGAGGAGGCACCGGGCGGUUCUCUGUUGAUUUUCCACGCUCUAGUCUCUUAAAGGAGACUAAGGCUGACAUGCAGGGACACAGUGGGGGGGUGGCCCGAGCCAGGCCACAUCACAGGCAGCCGCUUUUCUCAUUAAGACUGACCCAUCAUUAGGUCACUUUGUGCCAUCCUUGUAAUCAAUGAGCUUAAUGUUUAGUGCAAAAAAAAAAAAA